This 441-nucleotide ribosomal RNA is filed under the name uncultured bacterium. RNAcentral describes it as "partial 16S ribosomal RNA". It matches the Rfam family "Bacterial small subunit ribosomal RNA", at positions 338 to 795 of the family's 1533-position model. The record is from RNAcentral.
CCUACGGGAGGCUGCAGUGGGGGAUAUUGCACAAUGGGGGGAACCCUGAUGCAGCGACGCCGCGUGGGUGAAGGAGUGCUUCGGCAUGUAAAGCCCUAUCGGCAGGGAAGAAGCAAGACGGUACCUGACUAAGAAGCCCCGGCUAACUACGUGCCAGCAGCCGCGGUAAUACGUAGGGGGCGAGCGUUAUCCGGCUUCACUGGGUGUAAAGGGAGCGUAGACGGCCAUGCAAGCCAGGGGUGAAAGCCCGGGGCCCAACCCCGGGACUGCCCUUGGAACUGCAUGGCUGGAGUGCGGGAGGGGCAGGCGGAAUUCCUGGUGUAGCGGUGAAAUGCGUAGAUAUCAGGAGGAACACCGGCGGCGAAGGCGGCCUGCUGGACCGCGACUGACGUUGAGGCUCGAAAGCGUGGGGAGUGAACAGGAUUAGAUACCCCUGUAGUC